RNAcentral lists this ribosomal RNA (786 nucleotides) under uncultured archaeon. RNAcentral describes it as "bacterial SSU rRNA". It matches the Rfam family "Archaeal small subunit ribosomal RNA", at positions 85 to 879 of the family's 1478-position model. The record is from RNAcentral.
ACGGCUCAGUAACACGUCGAUAAUCUAACCUUAAGUCGAGAAUAACCUUGGGAAACUGAGGAUAAAACUUGAUAAAGGAAAAGUAUUGGAAUGUCUUUUCCUUGAAAAGUAAUGCUUAAGGAUGAGUCGGCGGCGGAUUAGGUUGUUGGUGAGGUAAAGGCUCACCAAGCCGAAGAUCCGUAGGGGCCUUGAGAGAGGUAGCCCCGAGAAUGGCACUGAGAUACUGGCCAUAGCCCUACGGGGUGCAGCAGGCGCGAAACCUUUACAAUGCACGGAAGUGUGAUAAGGGGACCCAGAGUGCUUAGCUUAGCUAGGCUUUUGCCAAGAGUAAAUAUCUUGGAGAAUAAGUGGUGGGCAAGACUGGUGCCAGCCGCCGCGGUAAUACCAGCGCCACGAGUGGGAACUAUAAUUAUUGGGCCUAAAGCGUUCGUAGCCGGUUUAAUAAAUUUCUUGUGAAAUUGUUGGGCUCAACCCAACAACGUGCAGGAAAGACUGUUAGACUUGGGACUGGGAGGAGUUAGAAGUAUCUUUGGGGUAGCGGUAAAAUGUUAUAAUCCUAAAGAGACUACCUAUGGCGAAAGCAUCUAACUAGAACAGGUCCGACGGUGAGGAACGAAAGCUAGGGGAGCGAACCGGAUUAGAUACCCGAGUAGUCCUAGCCAUAAACGCUGCGAGCAAGAUGUUGUAUAUUCUUCGGGAAUAUACAGUAUCGAAAAAGAGUCGUUAAGCUCCCCGCCUGGAAGUAUGGUCGCAGACUGAAACUUAAAGGAAUUGGCGGGGGAGCAC